This 138-nucleotide small RNA is filed under the name Arabidopsis thaliana (thale cress). Its description in RNAcentral is "ATSL102300". Lineage: Eukaryota; Viridiplantae; Streptophyta; Magnoliopsida; Brassicales; Brassicaceae. The record is from RNAcentral.
AAUUUGUUUUAUUUUCUUUUAUACCACGCUACUUUUUCGAAUUACACGUGAUAAUUGGAAAUCUCUCUUUGUCAAUAUGCUACUUUUUUAUAUAACACACUAGCUUCUGCCCCGCACAUACGUGCAUAUUUCAUAUUU